UACGGGGGGAGCAAGCGUUGUUCGGAUUUACUGGGCGUAAAGGGCGCGUAGGCGGUCGUGACAAGUCACUUGUGAAAUCUCCGGGCUUAACUCGGAACGGUCAAGUGAUACUGUCGGACUAGAGUACAGAAGGGGGCAACUGGAAUUCUCGGUGUAGCGGUGAAAUGCGUAGAUAUCGAAGAGGAACACCUGCGGCGAAGGCGGGUUGCUGGGCUGAUACUGACGUGAGGCGCGAAAGCCAGGGGAGCGAACGGG
This 255-nucleotide ribosomal RNA is filed under the name uncultured bacterium. RNAcentral describes it as "partial 16S ribosomal RNA". It matches the Rfam family "Bacterial small subunit ribosomal RNA", at positions 524 to 776 of the family's 1533-position model. The record is from RNAcentral.